RNAcentral lists this ribosomal RNA (362 nucleotides) under uncultured Streptococcus sp. RNAcentral describes it as "bacterial SSU rRNA". It matches the Rfam family "Bacterial small subunit ribosomal RNA", at positions 1018 to 1382 of the family's 1533-position model. Lineage: Bacteria; Bacillati; Bacillota; Bacilli; Lactobacillales; Streptococcaceae. The record is from RNAcentral.
AUUCGGUACAUCGGUGACAGGUGGUGCAUGGUUGUCGUCAGCUCGUGUCGUGAGAUGUUCGGGUUAAGUCCCGCAACGAGCGCAACCCCUAUGUUAGUUGCCAUCAUUCAGUUGGGCACUCUAGCGAGACUGCCGGUAAUAAACCGGAGGAAGGUGGGAUGACGUCAAAUCAUCAUGCCCCUUAUGACCUGGGCUACACACGUGCUACAAUGGUUGGUACAACGAGUUGCGAGUCGGUGACGGCGAGCUAAUCUCUUAAAGCCAAUCUCAGUUCGGAUUGUAGGCUGCAACUCGCCUACAUGAAGUCGGAAUCGCUAGUAAUCGCGGAUCAGCACGCCGCGGUGAAUACGUUCCCGGGCCUU